CCUACGGGAGGCUGCAGUGAGGAAUAUUGGUCAAUGGACGCAAGUCUGAACCAGCCAUGCCGCGUGCAGGAAGACGGCCCUAUGAGUUGUACACUUCUUUUGUACUAGGGUAAAUCCCGAUACGUGUACCGGGUUGAAAGUAUCUUACGAAUAAGGAUCGGCUAACUCCGUGCCAGCAGCCGCGGUAAUACGGAGGAUCCAAGCGUUAUCCGGAUUUAUUGGGUUUAAAGGGUGCGUAGUUGGGUGGAUAAGUUAGAGGUGAAAUCCUGCGGCUCAACUUCGGAAUUGCUUUUGAUACUGUCAGGCUAGAGUGUAGUUGCGGUAGGCGGAAUGUAUGGUGUAGCGGUGAAAUGCUUAGAGAUCAUACAGAACACCGAUUGCGAAGGCAGCUUACCAAGCUACCUCUGACGUUGAGGCACGAAAGCGUGGGUAGCAAACAGGAUUAGAUACCCCAGUAGUC
This 460-nucleotide ribosomal RNA is filed under the name uncultured bacterium. RNAcentral describes it as "partial 16S ribosomal RNA". It matches the Rfam family "Bacterial small subunit ribosomal RNA", at positions 338 to 795 of the family's 1533-position model. The record is from RNAcentral.